RNAcentral lists this ribosomal RNA (253 nucleotides) under uncultured bacterium. RNAcentral describes it as "partial 16S ribosomal RNA". It matches the Rfam family "Bacterial small subunit ribosomal RNA", at positions 524 to 776 of the family's 1533-position model. The record is from RNAcentral.
UACGAAGGGUGCUAGCGUUGUUCGGAAUUACUGGGCGUAAAGGGCGCGUAGGCGGUGAUCUUUGUCAGAGGUGAAAGCCCGGGGCUCAACUCCGGAAUUGCCUUUGAAACGGGAUCGCUUGAGUCCGAGAGAGGAUGGCGGAAUUCCUAGUGUAGAGGUGAAAUUCGUAGAUAUUAGGAAGAACACCGGUGGCGAAGGCGGCCAUCUGGCUCGGUACUGACGCUCAGGCGCGAAAGCGUGGGGAGCAAACAGG